AUAAUUUUAUUCUGGUUAUUUAGUUAGUUUUUAGAUAAUUUAUACAUGCUAGUUUUGGCGGGAUAUUAAUUUUCCUAAAUGGUUUAUUUUUUAUAUAAUAAUUCGCAGUUUUUAUUUUUAUUUUAUUUAAUGUUUUAUGAUUUAUUUAUUUUAUUUAUAACUAGUUAAAACUGUGCCAGCAACUGCGGUUAUACAGUUAGUUAAAAUUAAUUUUUUUGAGCUAUUUGUAUUGAUUAUUAAUGGGUUUGUAAUUGCAUGGUUUAGUUUUAUAUUUUAGGUGAAAUUUAAUUUUUAUUAUCUUAUGCUUAGUUUUAUGUUAAAAUUAUACGAUACUCUUGUUGUAAACUAGGAUUAGAUACCCUAUUAUUAAGAGUGUAAAUUUAUUGCUUAUAUUAUUAUUAGUUUUGGUCUUUAAAUUAAAAGAAUUUGACGGUAAUUAUAUCAUUUCAGAGGAACCUGUCCUGUAAUUGAUAAUCCACGUUAAAUUUUACCUUAUUUUUGGUUUGUAUAUCUCUGUCUAUAGAAUGUCUUAUGAGAGUAUUUUCGAUCUUGUUUUGUUAAAUUUUAUGUCAGGUCAAGGUGCAGCUAUAGUAGGGGUGGAGAUGGGUUACAUUUAUUUGUAAUUAUGGAUCUAUAUAUGUAUUUAUAUAAUGAAAUAGGAUUUGAUUGUAAUAUUUAUUAUAUUUUAUUUAUGAUAUUUGCUCUGUAUUAAGUACACAUCGCCCGUCGCUCUCAUUGUUUAAGAUGAGAUAAGUCGUAACAAAGUAGGCCUAUCGGAAGGUGGGCCUGGAAUGAUUU
RNAcentral lists this non-coding RNA (798 nucleotides) under Megacopta cribraria (bean plataspid). The record is from RNAcentral. Lineage: Eukaryota; Metazoa; Arthropoda; Insecta; Hemiptera; Plataspidae.